This 261-nucleotide ribosomal RNA is filed under the name uncultured bacterium. Its description in RNAcentral is "partial 16S ribosomal RNA". It matches the Rfam family "Bacterial small subunit ribosomal RNA", at positions 28 to 290 of the family's 1533-position model. The record is from RNAcentral.
GACGAACGCUGGCGGCGUGCUUAACACAUGCAAGUCGAGCGGUAAGGCCCUUUCGGGGGUACACGAGCGGCGAACGGGUGAGUAACACGUGGGUGACCUGCCCUCAGCUCUGGGAUAAGCCUGGGAAACCGGGUCUAAUACCGGAUAUGACUCCAUGACGCAUGUUGUGGGGUGGAAAGCCUUGUGCGGCUGAGGAUGGGCCCGCGGCCUAUCAGCUUGUUGGUGGGGUGAUGGCCUACCAAGGCGACGACGGGUAGCCGG